RNAcentral lists this ribosomal RNA (260 nucleotides) under uncultured bacterium. RNAcentral's name for it is "partial 16S ribosomal RNA". It matches the Rfam family "Bacterial small subunit ribosomal RNA", at positions 793 to 1055 of the family's 1533-position model. The record is from RNAcentral.
GUCCACGCCGUAAACGUUGGGCGCUAGGUGUGGGGUCCUUCCACGACCUCCGUGCCGCAGCUAACGCAUUAAGCGCCCCGCCUGGGGAGUACGGCCGCAAGGCUAAAACUCAAAGGAAUUGACGGGGCCCGCACAAGCGGCGGAGCAUGCGGAUUAAUUCGAUGCAACGCGAAGAACCUUACCAAGGCUUGACAUGCACGGGAAAGUUCCAGAGAUGGUUCCCCCGCAAGGUCCGUGCACAGGUGGUGCAUGGUUGUCGU